GGAUCUGAGAAACAAAAAGACUUAAUAUCGCUCAUUUUUAGUUAUCAAAUAGCAAUAAAAAAUAAUUGUUAUAAUGAAUCCACCAUGAUAUUUAACACGAACAAUGCUAUUUAUUUCCAUUACAAAAUUAACAUCGAGGAAUACAACAUGUAAGCUCAUGUACCCGUGGUUACAAUGUUUAUCUGAACACUAUUUAUCAGUUUAUAGCUACAUUUUAAUGCUGAACAAGUUCGUUCCUCCUAUUACUUUUGUUAUAGCCGAAAUAAAAAAUUCACUUCAGCUCAAUUUUCUUUGUAUAGCACUUUGAACAAAAAAUUCAGGAUAUAAAUUAUAAAAUGUAAAUUGAUCCCUAAAGCAAGUCAGACAAGAAAAAACUCUGUGACAAUAUAAGAAAGACACCCUGAGAGACUCAAAAAGGAACAUCUUUUAUAAAUAAAUAAAUAAAUAAAUGAAGGAAAAGAAGAGUUGUUCUCUCCUCAGCUUCAUUUUUUUCUCUAUUGCAGACCAAGGAACCAUUGUGAUGUUCUUGAGAACCUGGAAAGUGCAAAGUCUUCUGUCCUUAUACAGUACCUUUCACAUGACUCCAUCCGUAAGAGUCAAUCAUCUCCUUUAAAUAAACUUAACCCUAAUUAUGUUUUUCUUCAAUAAUAAACGAGCUGUUACAACAGAAAUGAUAACAGAAUAGAAUGAAAUUGCACAAAUGCAAACCUCAGAGCUGCUGUUAUAGAAAAUCAAUCAACAUCUUUUUUAAUUAGAGAAUUCAACAGUGAUGGCAUAUGAAUAAUGGAGUGCAUGGAACCUGUGCGUAGGUUGUGAUAAACUUCAGGGGAAAAUGAAGGUUCUGGUUACAUAUAAAACCAAACACAAAACCUUCCAGGUUUCUCAGACAAAAGUUUCAUUCUGAUUGGGGAGGUCUGUUGUAACUCCAUGAGCACUGCAGUGUGUGCUAGCUGAAUGAGAACAUUUGAAAUCUGGAAACGAUUAGCUCAUUAAGGCUGAGUGAGUCACGGCGGCGCCUGCCACAUGGCCUGCUUUAUGAAGGCUGAUCUGUGUUGUGAUUGGUGCACGAUAUGAGUAAGAGUAGAGGAAACCCAGCCUCCAAAACACCAAAGGCCAGACACAUCUGGAUAAAACCUAAAAAAGCAUCUGGAUGAGAUCUCAAAGACAUCUAACAACGCGUGUUCGAUCUGAGCUUGACUUGUGCUCUCUUCUACUGCCAAAUCCUCAAGGCUUUCAUGGAUGGAAAAAAAAGGGGCUGAAAAAGGAGUGACUCACCGCUCCAGGGCUGGGCCUGCACCACCUGACUCCAUUCACUCCACUGGCUGUGGUUAAUGAAAGCGUCCUGGGCUCGUACUCUGAUGUAGUAUGGAAAAGUGGACGAGUCGCCAUUUAAAAUCUCACCUUGGACCAGAAUUUGGAGCCGACGGGUUUGUACUGCAGCUCGAACUUCAGUGGAAAGGCGACGGAUGCGUCCGAGGGCCACGAGUCGGGCGGCUUCCACCGUA
Hemibagrus wyckioides is the source of this 1505-nucleotide long non-coding RNA. RefSeq lists it as uncharacterized. Lineage: Eukaryota; Metazoa; Chordata; Actinopteri; Siluriformes; Bagridae. The transcript is spliced from 3 exons. The record is from RefSeq and is a predicted model, not a curated record.